GCCUGGGUGGUUCAGUCGGUUGAGCGUCUGACUUGGGUUCAGGUCAUGAUCUCACGGUUUGUGAGUUCGAGCCCCACCUCGGGCU
Molecule: transfer RNA, 85 nt
Filed under: Felis catus (domestic cat)
Lineage: Eukaryota; Metazoa; Chordata; Mammalia; Carnivora; Felidae
Also listed under: 2 other names
Rfam family: tRNA
About the family: Transfer RNA (tRNA) molecules are approximately 80 nucleotides in length.
Source: Rfam by way of RNAcentral